AAAGCAAACACGAUUUAUCUCUUUCUUUCUUCUUCGUGUAGAAUACAUGAAUCUAUGCCGUCCUGAUUUUCUCUAUUUCGGAAUUAUUUAGUCUCCACAGGGAAUUUUCGGAAUUCUAGAUAAUGCUAUUGCUGUUUACCCAGCUUUUUCAGAGCCUGCAAAUUUUCACAUUAACGGUAGGAGCUUUGGCUAUGGGAUUCCAGCUUGAAUAGGGUUUCUGUAUCUCUACUAGGCGUGUCUUCUCUACACAGAAAACUGCAGAGAGAAGAACAAUUGAAUAAUUUCCAGCUUAGGUUAUCUGUUUAUUAAUUGUCUGGACUUACACAAAUUAUAAGCAUGUAAUUGUUGAUUCUUCUUAAUGUUUGGUAAAAUCUACAAAAGCUAAGCUAAUGUGUAGAAGACAGAAAUCUAUGGCGCAAGGAUGCUUUCUAUCUCGGAAUUUACAGUAGACCUACAUCUACUGAGUUGACGUAGCUCUACUGGGCGGGCGACUCUUCUCUACACAGCUUACUCUCAAAACUGGUUGAUGCAAAUAAACGCAUUCUUCCCUCUGUACAAGCUCUUCUUUGGUCUCACUUUGGGUUUGUUAAUAGGGUUUAGCUACUAUCUAUGGCGCCAGUAGAACAAAAAACUCAGAGAACAAGAUUAUUAAGUCUUCUCCUUUGUUACAUUUUGGUGUACGUUACUACUAACUGUUCCAGAACCUGCAAUUUUCGUUGGCACUUCUUCUUUAUUUCCCUGGCCUCCUGAUUUCUAUAAGCUACGGUGAAAUUAUUAAGAUGGAAAAGAGCAAUACCAAUGUGAAGAAGGCCCAGAAACAGAGAGCAUCGCAAAAAUAAAAAGAAGAAAUUUGAUGGUGCUGCGAGGGUUCGUCGCAAAGAUGACAUUGCAUUGCAGCGAAGUAUGGUGACCUCUACUUGCCUUGGAAAAAACCGUCGGUUGUCGUUGCUGAAAUUUCGGCUGACUUUCUUGAGUCUCUCACUCCCGAGAGGCUAGUCGUGACUGGCUGGUAUAGGAUGGGUGUGGCUGAGCCGAAGGAUUGGGAGAAGUUUGACCUUGGAAGGUUCAUCAGAUGUCGUUCUGGGUGCGGGAUCGAUGUCGCUCACUUUAGGAGGAAUACCGGAGGAGGAACCAGGGAAACCCGCUGAGGCUGCUCGUUUUUAAAACCUUUUUAUGCCCGCUUGUUGGGCUGCUAUGUCGUGCGGGUGCCCUUUAUUUGUUGUUGGGCCUCUUUCUUUUUGUUGAACUCGUUUGGUAGCUUGGCUUAUAUUAAGGAGCGGGAAGCGUUGAGUUUGCGUAUUAAAGCCCGAUUUAUUCUUUGCUUAGAUCGUCAUGAAUGCGCACAGGUGGUGGCUUAUUGGGUUCAUGGACCGCAGAGCGUUUGCAGGAGCUCGACUUAUAUUCAUACUUCGUGUGGAGUGCGUUAGAUUUGUUGUUUGUGUUGUUUUAUUUUUUUUUUGUCGCGCACCUGGCCAAGGUGCCGACAUUGGUAUUAGAAUUGUAAACUCUAUACUCUUUAUUUGGUUCUUAGUCGAUUUUAGCUGAUGUAAAGUUGAAUACAUGGUAAAAGACGAUGCUGGUUAAAUAUUGUAACUAAUAUGGUGCCGAGAA
This is a non-coding RNA of Camelina sativa (false flax), 1611 nucleotides long. Lineage: Eukaryota; Viridiplantae; Streptophyta; Magnoliopsida; Brassicales; Brassicaceae. The record is from RefSeq and is a predicted model, not a curated record.